Molecule: transfer RNA, 73 nt
Filed under: Paramuricea clavata
Lineage: Eukaryota; Metazoa; Cnidaria; Anthozoa; Malacalcyonacea; Plexauridae
Rfam family: tRNA
About the family: Transfer RNA (tRNA) molecules are approximately 80 nucleotides in length.
Source: Rfam by way of RNAcentral
GACCGCGUAGCUCAGUUGGAAGAGCAUUGGGCUAGUAUUCCAAAGGUCGUAGGUUAGAAUCCCACCGUGGCCG